Molecule: long non-coding RNA, 1618 nt
Organism: Junco hyemalis (dark-eyed junco)
Lineage: Eukaryota; Metazoa; Chordata; Aves; Passeriformes; Passerellidae
Source: Ensembl
AUGGGAAAGCGGCGGGCGGACACCGCCUCACCUGCGCCCAAUAGGAGCGGGCGCUCGGCCUCCGGCCCCGCCCAGCCGCCUCACAUCCAGCUAGCCCCGCCCCCCCAGCUGAAGAAGAAAAGCAAACGCCAUCGCUCUACCACAAAAUGGCGGCUGUGCCGCACCCGCCUUCGGCAUAGACCUGCCGCUCCGAGCGGAACGGAGCGGCGACAACGCCGGCCGGGGGUCCGCGGGCCAGCCGGGCACACAGCACAAGCGCCCCGCACCGCUCACGCCCCGCUUCCCCCGCGCUCUGCGGGGAAGCCCCCGGAGCUUUUACGAACCUGGGCUGUGGGUCUCGGAGCAAGCCGAGCCGGACGGUUGCGCGGUGCGGCGCGGCAGAUGAUCGGCGGAUCGGUCGGGCGGAUACGUCCUCCCCGGGCGAUAGACGGCUCCGAGUGCUGCGCAACACCGGCGCUGCGCCGCGAAAUGGAGGCGGCACCGCGCGUCAGCGCCGCCCCGCGCGGCCAUUGGCGGAGGCGGUGGCCACGCCCCUCCCCGGGGAAUCCAGGUGGCUGCAGUAAAGGCAAAAGAUUGUCCCAAGGGGUAUUUGAAAUGAAGAAGACAUCUGGAAGUUGAAGAUACACCCACCAGUUUUCCAGUACAGACAGAGGCUGCAGCUCGGUGACUCUCUUUGCCAGAUUUGUGCACUGCUGGAUCAGUUGACUUUACACAAAAAGCCAGCAGGCUUACAGCUGCAUAAGGCUGCCUCUUUUGAUGCAUUUUGAUAAUUACAGUAUGAUCCUUUUAAUAGCAUUUUCCUGACUUGUCACCUGAAGUCCCAUGCUGCCCUGACUCCCAGCCCCUACCCCUUCCCUUUGGGGCCCAUCUUUGUGACACCCAGGGGCUGUUAUUAAUGACCUCUAUGGGAUGAAUUUCUCUUUUUCGUGCUUAGUCACCGACAUGUGUUUCCCUGCCACAAUACAGCACGUGAUGGUGCUGACAUCAUAGCUUUGUAUGACUGCCCCCACAGUCACUCAACAGCAUGCAGAGUUCCAAAAAUGGAAAAGUUAUUUCUGCUGCAUGCAGUGAUGAGAAAGGCUACCAUGUAGCUAACGGUUUGGUAAGGGCACUGUCAGCAUCACUCACUUCUUUCUUGGGUUCCAAAGAUGCACAUUUCUGUCCUGGGCAGAGGCAGUGUCUGUGAGAAAAGCCAGGAUGAUGCACAGAUGGGAAAAUCUGCAAUACAGGGAGAACUUUGAGCAAGGAAAGACGAUGCUGGUGAUUAUCCCUGUGGAUGAUAACCUUUGCCUGCUGAGGAAGAUAAAUGUUAGAUGGCACAUCUGAAUGUAAGAGUGCGAAUUUCAUAGAGAGUUACAGUGCUUUAAGAGGUGCCAUGGGAACAGGCUGUUCUGUUCUGUCAACACCAGGACUCUCCUGUCUGCAGAGUGAACUGGUACACAAAGCUAAACCAGCAAAAGGUAGUGCUGGAAAAGGCAGCAAGCAGACUUCUAAAAUUUUACCUCCAUGAAAACCAGCUUGUAGUGAGAGAAAAACAAAACUGAAAAUAACUUCAGUUUCAACAAAACUGAAUAGAGAAGGGAGGAAGGGGCAGGAGUGCCCCUUUAAGGAAGAGCUG